Molecule: long non-coding RNA, 1883 nt
Organism: Mytilus trossulus (common blue mussel)
Lineage: Eukaryota; Metazoa; Mollusca; Bivalvia; Mytilida; Mytilidae
Exons: 2
Source: RefSeq, a predicted model, not a curated record
UUUAAAUUAAAAUAUCAAUCAAAUUUAAGACAAAAAAGGAUUGAAUAGACGCAAAUAAACAGAAUUUUCAAAAUAUUUCUAAUUUAUGUCAUGUGUUUAUGACGUAGGACGAUAGGUGUGUAUUACUUAAAAGUAGUUCGAUGUGUGUGUCGCCAGUGUUGCGUUUGAUGAGUAGAAGAUAGGACCUAUGUCGAACAGAUUGAAACCCUGAUGUGUCGAAAUAACAGUUUCUAAGCUUUAUUAUUUUGUUUGGACUCUUAAUUUGUUAAAAAGAACGUUUUUAUAGACUGGACGAUUACCGAUUUUAUUCAUUUUAGUUUAAAUUCGAGGAUAUUUGAUAGAAUAGAACAAUUUUUGUCAAUCCAAGAUGGCGCCCACAGAAAUUUCCGUAACCGAAUCUUCAGUUGUGUUGAAUUUACUACGUCGCGUACGAUCAAAGAAAAAGACUGUAAAUGGGAAAGAUUUUCAUUAUCGGGCGAAAGCUUUAUUACAAUCCACGGAGAUGAAAUUAUUAUUGGAUCUACAAAAACUUGGUAAAAAAAUGGCAAAACGGGAAGGUGAAAAUGUCGGACAAGAAAUUUACGAUGAGGGUAAAACAAAAUCAGGUGGUAACGACGAUAUUUUAUCUUUAAAUUCGUUUUUUGAGAAGCUUUAUAAAUCAUAAUUUUUUUUUAAUUCAAACUUUUUUUUUUAUAUUUUCCACCAUACGUGUUCAAAAAUUCGCGAUUUGUAUUCUGUUGUUAUAUUUUGUUUGUUAUUGAAUAAAACAUGUUGAUUAUAAUAUACUUUGUUGCAUCAUCAAUUUAAAUCAUAUAUAUAUUAUUUUAUCAGCUUUCAAGCCUUCAUGAAGACUGGCCAAUAUGUCUCGUGUUUGUGUAUAGAGUCCGAGAGGUGUAUGUAGCUUUAUCAGCUUGCCGUCCUUCCUAUUUCCAUACAGUCCAAAGGAAAUAUUGUGGGAUGACACGGUCUCCUUUCAAGAGUAUUAAUGAGUUAAGUUGGUUGCCAACAAGAUCAGCCUAUUUGCAGUUCACUUUCCCUGUGUAUCUGUGCCUCUGACAGACUGGUGUGAUACUGUCCAUGUUGCUUAUAUUUAAAGAAGGUUGGAUUCCUGCUCUUGUUCAGGGUUUCAACAUGAUGAUCAGAAAGAUGAAGUAUGAAAUCUUUUUUUUUAACUAUAAAUGCAAGUUAAAAGAGACCAUAAAUGUUUAGACUUUAUUGUAAAAGUAUUUACCAGGGAUCUCAUAUAUAGACGGUCAUACUGUUUUCCAUGAAGAGAUGACUAUUAAACAAGGGAUUGAGGGAGGAAUGAAUGUUUAUAAAGGUUCAAGUCGAGCUGUAGUUGACUAUUCUGAAUGUUCAGAUGAUAACUUGUCCUGUUAGUAAAAGUAUGCAGUCUUUAUACUCUGUCUCUGAAGCAAGAAACUAUACAUGUUGGUAAACAAGACUGGAUUUCUUUCAUAGACUUGGUACCUUAUUCUUCUGCUGUGUCAUUGCCACAUGGAAUGAAAGACUUGGUUUUCCUAAAGUAAAACUGAUAAGAAAAUGAACAACUGAUGUUGAAAUAACUGGUAGUUUAUUCUAGUAUAAUAAUCUAGUUUGUGACAUUUUAUCAGCUAAUGAGCAGUGGUUUGUAAUGUAUCAGUCAUUUUUUAUUACGUUUAUUCAUUGUUUUCAUUUGACAAGAAAAGAAAUCAGAUAUAAUUGUGAAUUUGAUGGAAUUAAGUCAAACAAAAGAGAUUACUUUAUCCUGUUCCACAUUAAGUUAAAAUAAUGCAAAUUUUGUGUUUGGGAAGUUUCACAUGUUCAAUAUACAAUAUAUAUUAUGUUAAGCAUGCCCUGAAAGCAAUGUUUUUCAGUAUUAAAACUCCAACUUGAAUAUACAA